Non-coding RNA from Leptonychotes weddellii (Weddell seal), 1641 nucleotides. Lineage: Eukaryota; Metazoa; Chordata; Mammalia; Carnivora; Phocidae. The record is from RefSeq and is a predicted model, not a curated record.
AUACUUGGUUUUGCUGCCUAUCAACCUGAAGGCAAAUACUCCUGGGAAUAACGGGUCAGAAGAGUGAACUAGUCAGGUCAGUAUUCCUCAGCAUGGUUCUAAUUGAUCCAACCAGUUCUUGCUUCCUAGCAUUCUAGUUUUUGAUCCCCUAAUCACAGAGCAAUAGGUUGGAAAACUUCCUCCAUAAAAUCAGAGCUGUGUAGAAUCUUUUUAUUUGGUGUGUGGUUCAUUCGGUGGGAUCAAAUUCUUACAUAGCCUCCAUCUUGUUUGUUUCUACCUGUGCCUACAGAAGGCCAUCUUCUACGAGGCACAGAGUGCUUUUACUUGCUCUCUCCGUUGUGUCCCAGCCUGUGCCCUCUUGGGCUUUGUAGAAGAGAGGUAGAUUGACAGCAGGUUGUAAAUGAUUCAUUCUCCAAAUUAGAUGGGUUGGGGGAGUGGGUAGGAGGGAGAAAACUGUCAGGUCCGAUGCACUUCUGUGAGGCUGUGCUCCCUACCUACUGUCCUUACCAUCUCUGGCCACAACUGGCCAGCUCAGGCCAGAGUCAAGGGCCAGAGCAAUCCAUCGGAAUCACUCUUUAUCUGAGUUGAUGGUAGCUGCAUUAAUGGUCAUGAGAGGGAAGUUGAUGAGCUGUCAACAGUAAAAGCAUUCCAGACCCAACUGUCUUCUCUGUUAGACAAGGUAUUCCCCAUCUUCCCAUUUCAAAACAGUUGUGGAGAGACUGAGCUGCCCCCCGGAUGAGAAAGUUUAGGGUAAACUUUAUAGUAUUAGAGUUCUUAUUCCUGUGUUCCUCUGUAUGAGUAAAUGACCUUAGCGAGGUGACGGUAAAAUAGAGACUGCCUUCCAGUAGUCUGUCCUUGCCAUACUGGUCCCUUGGGGGUUGGAGAUGCCAGUUUGUCCUUAAUAAAACUGCAGAUCUCAUUAGCCAUGGUGAAAUUACUUUUUGUAGCCAGAAUCGAUAAAUCUUUAUCUCCUGGACAGUGAUAGAGCUACCUUUUACAUCAGUUUUUUCUCUUCCUUGUGGUUUUUGCUUUUGAAUGGCUAUAUCUUGACCAGUAGCUAUUUCCUGCUAUCACUGGUUCACUCUUACUUCAGGUACUAGUAUGUGGCUGCAGACAUGACUGAAAAGAGGCUUUAUGGGUCAGUGGGAAGAGCAAAGGUUUGAAGGUCUUGAGAUGGGUUCCAGGGAGAGGAGGGGAAGAAAAAUAUAGUUUAAGAUGCUAUGACCAGAGCGUGAGGGACGCCACGAAUUCCGUUUGGAGGCAUCUUUCAGCUCGCCGAGUAGACCCCAUGAGCAAAGCUCACCUCCCAAGUUGAAAACAUUUAUGGACAAGAAAUUGUCAUUGAAAUUAAAUGGUGGCAGACAUGUCCAAGGAAUAUUGUGGGGGUUCGAUCUGUUUAUGAAUCUUGUGAUAGAUGAAUGUGUGGAGAUGGCAACUAGUGGGCAACAGAACAAUAUUGGAAUGGUGGUAAUACGAGGACAUAGUGUCAUCAUGUUAGAAGCCUUGGAGCGAGUGUAAACAAUGGGUGUGUUCAUCAGAAGAAAUCAGCUGCUUCCACAUGUCCCCUUUACUACAAUAUAAAAAUCAGGUCGUGUGCAUUUUCAUAUUGAACUUUUUUGUUAAAUAAACUUUUAUAAUGGU